RNAcentral lists this ribosomal RNA (466 nucleotides) under Vreelandella stevensii. RNAcentral describes it as "partial 16S ribosomal RNA". It matches the Rfam family "Bacterial small subunit ribosomal RNA", at positions 338 to 795 of the family's 1533-position model. The record is from RNAcentral. Lineage: Bacteria; Pseudomonadati; Pseudomonadota; Gammaproteobacteria; Oceanospirillales; Halomonadaceae.
CCUACGGGAGGCUGCAGUGGGGAAUAUUGGACAAUGGGCGAAAGCCUGAUCCAGCCAUGCCGCGUGUGUGAAGAAGGCCUUCGGGUUGUAAAGCACUUUCAGUGGGGAAGAAAGCCUUGGGGCUAAUACCCUCGAGGAAGGACAUCACCCACAGAAGAAGCACCGGCUGAACUCCGUGCCAGCAGCCGCGGUAAUACGGAGGGUGCGAGCGUUAAUCGGAAUUACUGGGCGUAAAGCGCGCGUAGGCGGUCUGAUAAGCCGGGUGUGAAAGCCCCGGGCUCAACCUGGGAACGGCAUCCGGAACUGUCAGGCUAGAGUGCAGGAGAGGAAGGUAGAAUUCCCGGUGUAGCGGUGAAAUGCGUAGAGAUCGGGAGGAAUACCAGUGGCGAAGGCGGCCUUCUGGACUGACACUGACGCUGAGGUGCGAAAGCGUGGGUAGCAAACAGGAUUAGAUACCCCGGUAGUC